Molecule: long non-coding RNA, 6454 nt
Organism: Gopherus evgoodei (Goodes thornscrub tortoise)
Lineage: Eukaryota; Metazoa; Chordata; Testudines; Testudinidae
Exons: 11
Source: RefSeq, a predicted model, not a curated record
CCGAGCAGGAAGAGCACAAAGCCAAAGCCCCAUUGGUAGGGCGCCUUGCCGAGUGUGUAAUCUGCUCCCUGAUUGGUUGGCUGCUGUGCUGCGGGUUGCUGUUCCCGGGGUCCUUCGCUGGCGGUAUCGGUAGUAGGGCGAGCUUCAUAUGGUGUUGGGCUCAUGUAACCCCCCUCCCCGGGGCCGGGUGAGCUGAGCCCAGGUUUUUACAACCCAGGGCUCCCCGUGAGGAGAGCGGCGGCCCCGAAAGAAGGGAGAUAGCUUCAGUGAUGUAGGGGGAGUCAGAGGUGCAAAGACUGUCAAAGCAAAGCGAACAGCCAGAGAGGCUUUCCCUCUUCAAACUGCAGCCAGUCGCCAGGGCCACAGGGUUAAGGGUGCUUUGUGCUUCUAAAUUGAAGAAUGCCAUUUCCGUAGUCUUUUGCCAGUCUGGAGUGACUCUGAAGAUGUUUGCAGAGGAAUCAUCCAGGAACCCUCGCCGGGGAAAAAUAUGGCAGAAAUGGACCUGAGCAGCCUCGACAUCCUUAUAAGGAGACAUGAAUAGUCCUCAGCUUUCUGCCUCCCGCUUAAAUGGCUGUGAUACCAAGGAAAAAGACAUCACGUGUGAGUCUAUAGCCCUCGUGAUGGAAAAUGAGUGAGAGUGACGAGACUGCGAGCGUUGUUGGUGCCAGGCAGCAGCCGUCCAUCUGGGAGCAGAACAGCCGCUACUAUCACUGAGAUAAGUAUCUCUUUUGCUGAGAGUUCUGCUCCUCCAGGUAGGGACACCUUGUUAGCUGGGGCUGGGUUUGUAAGAAAAGGUUCCUGAGUAGAUGUGGUUAUGAGGGAGACAAGGUCCCCAUUUUCAGGGGCUGGUCAGUUCUCUGGCCGGUAGCAGUGUGUCCUCUGCAGCGGAAGGUUAGAUCCGUGAGAAUGACUGCAGGUGGAAAGUUGCUUGCCAUCCUCCCAUGUUUCUCUCUUUCUUCUCUACUGUGUUGGCCAACAUUCUCCCUCUCUGUCUGUCUGUCCUUGCCUCUCCUUGUGCUGUCUUCCUUUGUAGCACACAGGCAGGCGUGCUCGGAGCGCAUACCCACGGCCUAUGUAUCAGGAGCCAUGAAAAAGUAGAAAGGGAUGAAAAUAAUGCAGAUUAAUGGGCACGAAAGCGGAGCGGUGACUGUCGGUGUUAACUCGGUCUCUGUUCAUCGAGUGGGGCUGAUGUAGAUGGGAGGGAAGAGGGAGGCGGGGAUGAGGGCAAGAUUUCAAGCACCAAUAGAGAUGUCUGUAGUGAUGGCUCAUGCAUGGCUUUUGCAGGUGCUCUUGCAGAGGAAUUGUCCAGAAGCCCUCGCCGGAGGAGAAGCUGGCAGAGGUGGACCUGCUCAGCCUGAACAUCCUUCUAAGCAGACAUGAACAGUCCUCAGCUUUCUGCCUCCUGCUUUACUGGCUGUGAGUAAGAGUGCCAAGAGAAAUGAAGUCACACGUCAGAUUCUAUUGCCCUCAUGCGAUGGAAAGUGAGUGAGAGCAGCGAGCCUGUGAGCAUUGUUCAUGCCAGGCAAGAGCCAUCCAUCUGGGAGCCAAGCCGAUGCCACCGACACUGAGAUAAGUUUCUGUUUUGUUGAGGGUUCUGCUCAUGCUCCAUCUGACUCCAGGUAGAGACACACCGUCAGCGGGGGCUGGGUUUGUAAGAAAAGGUUCCUGACUAGCUGUGGUUUUGAGGGAGACAAGGUUUGCAUUUUCAGGGGCUGCUCAUGUCUUUAGCCAGGACUGGUGUGUCCUCCUCAGCAUAGUAGAUCCAGGAGGAUGACUCCAGUUGGUGAGUUUCUUGAUUCCAUCCCACCAUUUUAUCUAUCUCUCCUGUAAAGUGUUGGCCAACACUCUCUCUCUCUCUGUCCUUGCCUCGCCUUGUGCUGUCUCCCUUCGUAGGACAUGGGCAGGUGUGGUAGGUAUGCAUCCCCACAGGCCAGGUCUUGUGAGCUGUGAAGAAAUAGGGGACCGAAAUAUUACUGGGCAGUGGGCACUACAGUGCAGGGGUGACUGUGGGUAUUGAUUGAAUCUCUGCCCUUGUGGGGCUGAUGUAGAUGGAAUGAGAGAGGGAGGUGGGAAUGAGGGCAAGAUUAAACGCUCCGAUAGAUCUCUGUGUAGUGACGGUACUUGCUUGCCUUUAUUAGUUUGCAGAACAAUCAUCCAGGAGCCCUCGCCGGAUGAGAAUAUGCAGAACUGGACCUUAGCAGCCUGGACAUCCUUCUAAAGAGACAUGAAUAGUCCUUAGAUUUCUUCCUUCUGCAUAACUGGCUGUGAGUAAGAGCUACUCGUGCAGAGGGAUUGUCCAAGAGCCCUAGCUGGAAGAGGAAGAGGCAGACGUGGACCUGAGCAGCUUGGACAUUGUUUUAAGGAAACCUGAACAGUCCUCAGCUUCCUGCCCCAGCUUAACUGGCUGUGAGUAAGAGUACCAAGGGAAAAUAAGUCAUGCGCCAGAAUCUACUGCCCUCAUGCGACGGAAAGCAAUGAGACUGCGAGUAUUGUCAAUGCCACGCAAAAGCUGUCCAACUGGGAGCGGAACAGCUGCCACUUUCAAUGAGAUAAGUGUCUGUUUUGGUGAUUGCUCUGCUCCCGGCCCUCCCUGCUCCUGGUAGAGACGCCACAUUAGCUGGGGCUGGGUUUGUAAGAAAAUGUUCUUGACUAGUUGUAGUUGUGAAGGACAACUAGUUGUAGUUGUGAAGCCCUCAUUUUCAGGGGCUGCUCAGUUCUCUGGCCAUGAGCGGCGAGUCCUCUGCAGCAGAAGGUUGGAUCCAGGAGGAUGACUGCAGGUGGUGAGUUGCUUGCCUUCCACCCGUGUUUUUCUCUCUGUGUCUUUCUGUUCUCUAGCAUGUUGGCCAACACACACCCUCUCUCUAUCUGUCUGUCUGUCUCUCUCACCUUUCCUUGUGCCAUCUCCCUUCAUAGGACACGGACAGGGUGCUCAAUGUGCAUCCCCACAGGCUAGGUCUUGGGAGCCAUGGAGAAGGAAGAGCAGAGAAAAAUCAUGAGGGGCAGUGGGUGCUGAAGUGGAACAGUGACUGUUUACUCAUCUCUGUUCAUUGAGUUGGGCUCAGGUGGAUGGCAUGGGAGAGGAAGGGAGGAAUGAGGGCAAGAUUUCAUGCACGAAUAGAACUUGUUGUACUGAUGGCUCAUGCAUGGGUUUUGCAGGUGCACUUGCAGAGGAAGUGUCCAGGAGCCCCAGGCUGAGGAGAAGUUGGCAGAAGUGGAUCUGAUCAGCCUGAGCAUCCUUCUAAGCAGACAUGAACAGUCCUCUCCUUUCUGAAUCCCACUUAACUUGCUGUGGUACCAGAGGAAAAGAAAUCUUGCAUGAGAGUCUACUGCCGUCAUGCAAUGGAAAUCGAGCGAGAGCGAUGGGACUGCAGGAAAUUAUUGCUGCCAUGAAAAAGCCGUUCAACUGGGAGUGGAACAACCACCACUCUCAAUGAGAUAAGUGUCUGCUUUGAUGAUUGCUCUGUUUUUGAGUAGCUGUAGUUAUGAGGGAGACAAGGUCCCCAUUUUCAGGGACUGCUCAGUUCUCUGGCCAGUAGCAGUGUGUCCUCUGCAGCAGAAGGUUGGAUCCAGGAGGAUGACUGCAGGUGAUGAGUUGCUUGCCUUCCACCCAUGUUUUUCACUCUGUCUCUCUCUGUUCUUUAGUAAGUUGGCCAACACACACCCUAUCUCUAUCCUUACCUUUCCUUCUGCCAUCUCCCUUCUUAGGACACAAGCAGGAGUUCUAGGUGUGCAUCCCCACAGGUUAGGUCUUGGGAGCCCUGGAGGAGUAGAAGGGGACGAAAACCAUGUCAGGCAGUGGGUGCUAAAGUGGAGCAGUGACUGUUGGUGUUAACUCGUUCUCUGUUCGAGUGGCGCCAAUGUAGAUGGGAUGGAAGAGGGAGGCAGGAUUGAGGGCAAGAUUUCACACACCAGUAGAGCUUUGUGUCAUGAUGGCUCAUGCUUGGCUUUUGCAGCUGUUCCUGCAGAGGAAUUGUCCAGGAGCCCCAGCCAGAGGAGAGACUGGCAGAAAUGGAUCUGAGCAGCUUGGACAUCCUUCUAAGUAGACAUGAACAAUCCUCAGCUUUCUGAAUUCUGAAUAACUGGCUGUGAGUCAGAGUACCAAGGAAAAAGAAGACACACGUCAAUCUACUGCUCUCAUGCAAUGGACAGUGAUGAAGAGUGAUGGGACCUUGAGAAUUAUUUGAUGGCAUGAAAAAGCCAUCCAUCUGGGAGUGGAACAGAUGCCACUGUCUCUGAGAUAAGUGUUUGUUUUGCUGAGGGUUCUUCUCAAGGCCCACCUGGCUCCAGAUAGGGACGCCCCGUUAGCUGGGCCUGGGUUUGUGUUUAAAAAAAAAAAAAAGGUUCCUGAACAGCAGUAGUUACAAGGGAGACAAGGUCCCCAUUCUCGGGGCUGGUCAUUUCUCUAUUCACAAGCAGUGUGUCCUCCGCAGCAGAAGGUUGGAUCCAGGGAGAGAUGGCUCCAGCUGGUGAGUUUCUUGCUUUCCUCCCAUGUUUCUCUUGCUGUCUGUCUCUUCUCUAGUGUGUUGGCCAACGCUCUCUCUUUCUCUCUCUGUCUCUGUCCUUGCUUUCCUUGUGCCUUCUCCCUUCAUAGGACACAGGCAGCUGCGCUAUGGGUGCAUCCCUACAGGCUAGGUCUCAAAAGCUAUGAACAAGUAGGAGAGGAUGAAAAUCAUGCAGGAUAGUGGGUGCGAGAGUGGAGGCAGGUACUGGAAGAUGUUGUGAACCUAGACUGUUUUUGUCUGUGAUGGCUCUUCCAUAGGUGGUUAGCUGUUCUUGCAGAGGGCUGCUCCAGGCCAGCAGAGCAGCCCCAAACAGAGUAGGAGCAUCUGGAGGAAGCAAACGUACCCAAUCUAGCUGUUUUGCUUUGCAGUGGAGCCGAGGAGCGAUCUUGUAAUGUUUUUGUGAAAUGAUAUUUCUCUAUCCAGUAUCUGCAGAGUGAGAUGACUCGUGGAGAGCAGAGAGAUGCUUCUCCUAUCCCUGGAAUGGGUCCUGGGGAAGGUCCAGCUCUGCCUGUGGCUGGUAGUGGUCUGGGAUUGUCCCUUUCCUGGAGUGCUGUAGCUUCUUAGGAGUGAUGAGCAUUUUAGGCCCUGGGUGGGCUGGAGAGGAAUAGAGAAGGGAGCCCCAAUGAGCAGCAGCCAGUGAUGUGUGUGUGUCCAUUUUUCUUCCAUGCCCCAGUGCUGGCCUAGCUUACAAGUGUUCUCUCUUUCUCUUUUCAGUUCCUACUGAGAUUGGUCUCUGCCACAGGUUGGCCAGUCUCUCAUCUGACCAAAAAAGUAGUGGCCACCCUGAGCCCAUCCCUAGGGAUGGAAGCCGGACAGUAAUCUGCAGAGUAAGAGCAAAUGGAAAUUUUCUGAAGUUCAGUAUUGAGGGAGGGCUGCAAACACUCAUCUCAGUGGAGAGAAUUUGUAAAUAUGGGGAAGGCCCCUGAGGAAAGGCCUCUGCAUCUCAUGGGGACACAAUAAGUUUAGGGGAAUCCUUUGUGCCCUGUCAAGGGGUUGUCAGGUGCUAUGGAGUCUUCCUGAAAUGCAGUAACCCUUUGUGGAGAGCCAGGAAGGUGACUACAUGUGCUGAGUUUACCUCCUUCCUGUGUGUGUAUCUCUGCUCUCAUAUGUUGGCCAACAUGCUCUGUGUGUGUCUGCCUCUCCUUGUACUGUCUCCUUGCAUAGAACUUGGGCAAUGGUUCAUGCUUUCUGGCUUGGUCUGGAGAGUCUGUAUCCCACUGGAGCAUUGGGAGGAGGAAGAGAAGCAUGAUGGGUAUUAGAUCCUCCAUUGGUAGUGGUAUGGGGUGACUGUGGGAGUUGACUCUGACUCUGUUCAUCAAGUGGGGCUAAUGUACAGUGGAUGGGAGAGGGAGGGCGGCAUCUCAGACACCAAUAGAACUUGGGGCAGUGAUGGCUCCUGCUUGGGUUACAUGUCUUUGCAGAGGGAUCGUCCAGGAGCUGCAGCCAGAGGAGAAACUGGAAGAAAUGAACCUGAGCAGCCUGGACAUCCUUGUAAACAGAGAUGAACAGUCCUCAGCUUUCUGCCUUCCACAUAACUGGCUGUGAGUUUGGUAUUUCUGACCAGAGUCUGCUAUGCAGAGUGAGUAUUUAAGGUGUCAUUGCAAGAGGCGUUUUCUACUUUUAGUCCUAAAGAUGUACUGGAAAGAUGGUUGAGGGCGGAGGCCUACCGUGUCGGGGAGGUGAAAAGAAAAGCCUACAAGACAUUGCCUCCUGAGAGGGUAGGGUAUUUCUUUUUCCCCUUGUGGUGGGUUUAGUUGCAAAGGAAAAGAAGUCACGCAUCAGAGUCCACUGUCCUCGUGCGAUGGAAGGGGAGCAAGAGUGCUGAGACCAUGAGGAUUGUAGAUGGACGGCUUUUGCGCGGCAUCAGAGAGUGGAACAGCCGUCACUGUCAGUGAGAUAAGUGUCUGGUUUGGUGGUUCCUCUGCUCACGGACCACCUCGCUCCUGGUAGGG